This 4181-nucleotide long non-coding RNA is filed under the name Ictidomys tridecemlineatus (thirteen-lined ground squirrel). RNAcentral's name for it is "lncRNA (ENSSTOG00000030981.1)". The record is from RNAcentral. Lineage: Eukaryota; Metazoa; Chordata; Mammalia; Rodentia; Sciuridae.
AUGUGGCAGCCCCUGGAGCUGCACAUGCAGCUGUGGGGUCCUCCAACCUAUCCCUGUGUUGGCUGCAGGCUGAGGGAGGCAAGGACUGGGCACAAGUGCACAAGGCCAGGUGGGCUUUCUAUGGCAUUAUCGGUUUUUGUACCGCUAACCUUGAGGUACUUAUGCUUUAGCUCCUUAAAGGCUACAGCAGGAACCGCCCUCCUCACUUUCUCUGGCUUUCUUCCUCCAUCUUCCUCUUGGACUCCUGGAGUGCCUGUGACUCCUCGGGGCUUCAGUUUCCCGGUCUGGAGUCAGGCUAGAGGGUCCCAGGCACCCCUGACUUCUCGGCCCCAGUUUCCUGUUGCAAAGGAUCGUUUCCCCUUAGCCCCAGUUUUCAUCAGCUUGUCUACUGUUUAUCAAUUUUGUACUUACAUCUUCAAAGAACUAAAAUAUGGAAACACCUGUGGAGCAACUAGAAACCAACACAAAAGACCAGUCCAACUGGACCUGAAGCUGGAAGCCCCACAGAACAUAGCCUGGAUGAACCAACUCACAGCCAACCUGCAGACCAGGAAUAGGAAGAGACGAUGGGGUUUGGGGAUGGUUUGUUAUGACUAAUUGAUAGAGCUCAUGGGUUUAUAUAGUAAAUUGAUAGAGUUUAUACAUUUUAUUUAACCAACUCCCUACAGAUGGACAAAUUGAACUAUUCCAAGAAAAGUUUGGCUCAUUUUAAAAAACAUUUCUAUAAGAUCUAUUUCUAGAAGAAUUGCAUCAAAGAAUUUGUACUCUUAAACUUUGAAAACAUAUUACUCAAUUAUGCUCACCAAAGCUAUGCGGAUUCAUGUUCUUAUCAUCAGUUUAUAUUUUUCCUCCUAUAUUACUACACCGAAUAUUAAAAUAUUUGAUUAUCUCAUAAAUGAAAUAUGAUAUCUAUUUAAAUUUGCAUUUCUCUGAGCACUAGAGACUGAAUACUUUUCCAUAUAUGGAUUUGUCAUUUAUUUAUUUUUUCUCUGAAUUUUCUCCUUCAUGUUCUUUGUUCCCUUUUAUAAUAAGUAUUUUGUCUGAUUAUUUGGAGAUUUCUUUUAUAUAACGGCUCAAUAUUAAUUUUUUUAUCUGUUAAAAGUAUUGCAAAUAUUUUGUUUAAUUCUGAAAUUUUUUAAAAAGCUUUUUUUCAGUAUCUUUUACUUAAGAGAAGCUUAAUAUAUUUGCAAGGUAAUAUUUUACUUUAUAGCUCUAUAUUUGCCUAAGAAUAUUUCCCAUUUAAAAACUACUAAAAUCUAUCAUAUUGUCUUCUGUUAUAUUUAUAAUUUUUUUUAUUGUUUUGGGUCUAUAUAUCAUCCGACAUUUGGUUUUGUUUUUGUGGUACGAGGAAUCCAACCCAGGGCCUCAUGCACAAGUGCUUUACCACUGAGCUAUACCCUGAGUCCUAUUUUUGGGUUAUUAUUUUGAGUUAAGUAUAAGAUUCUUUCCCAAAACAAUAGGUAAUUAUUCCAACAGUGUUUAUCAAAUACUCCACUACUUCCUUUUUAAUUUGAAAUGCCAUACUUAAACUAGAUUUUAAUUAAGGGUUGUUUCUAGAAUUUUUGUUCUAUUCCACUGAUCUCUCAUAGCAUUGUGUCAAUACUAUGUUGUUUGACUGCUGAUGUCUUAAACUGCAUUUUGGUAUCUUCAGGCAAAGUACUCCCAAUAGCUCUUUAUACAAAUUUUUUAUUCUUGGCAUUUACUCUUCCGGAGGAACUUGAGAAUAUUAACAAAUCCAUAAUAAAUUCUAUGUGGAUUUGGUUGGGAUUGCAUCAAAUAUAUAGAUUAAUUUGUAGAGAAUCAUAUUUUGACAGCAACGAGUCAUGGCAUAUGAUUUAUGUCUUGAUUUUUAUAAGUUUUUAUUUUAAUGAUCUCUGGCAAAAAAAAAAUUUUGCUUUUCUUCAUGUAGGUUUUGCACAAUUCCUAUUAGGUUUAGUUCUAGAAUGUCUUCUUUUGUUCUAUAAUGAAUCUAUUGACAUGAAAAAAUUUUGUCAAUACAUUUGGCCCCAAAAUUAGAUUAAUAGCAUUUAUGAUAUCAUUCCACUUUUGGUUAAAAAUAUGUCUACGUGUAUGGAUGGCUCUAUAUGUAGAAAAACUUUGAGUAUAAUUGUUAAUUUAAUUCUCUAUCUCCACUUGGUUGAUCUCUUUUAUUAUUUUUGAUAACUUUGUGUGUAACACCACAAGGCUCCUGGCACAUAUUAGUAGCUCAAAACACCUCGGUUACAUGAAUAAAUGAAUGGAAUAAAGGGAUUUUGAAGGAUCUCCAUAGGAAGGAUGACAAUGCCUUUUCUCUGAGCACAUAGAACUCUGGAUUUAAGUUUUUUUCUGCUUAUAUUUUUUUUAAAUUUCUUAAGAUCAUGUGUUAUCUCAUAAUUUAAAAAAAUCAAAAAAAAAGAUCUUCACUGGGGAAAAGAAGAAAAGCAUAUUGAACAAGCACAUGAGGAGAUACUUCCUGUGUUACUUGAAAAAUUUAAAAGAAGAAAAAAUUGUGCAGGCCCUAAAAGUGGCUAGAGGGCAGGUUGUUCCCCUCCGGGUUUCUUGAUUAUUCAAAUUUUAGAGGCUUAGUUUUGUGCUUUGUGAAACGGGAAUCUCUUUGCUUUGCCUUAGCCUCUCACUGCUCCUUCUAUGCUGAGUUAGGAACUCUCUGCCUGCUGGAGCCGGGCUCAAGACCCUCAUCAAAGGCACAGCAUAGUUCAGAGGGACUUGAGGGAACCCAGGGAAGUCAUUCUUCAGACCCUGAGGUUGUUUUUACAUUAUGAUGAUAUACGGUAUAUGUAGCUACGAUGCCUGGGUACAUCUACAGGGAGGGCAGACCAGGAGGCCUUAGGGUUGGGAGGGCCACCAGGUCAAUAAUAUAUGCAGCUGGCAAAAAAGAACAUCGACCUCAUUUCCUCUCGAGAAUAGAUGACUAUAACCCCAGAGUCCUGGUUUGCAUGUAAAUAAUGAGCAAUACUGCUCGGCCACUUGUAUCAUUGAAGAGAGAGUGAAACAAAAAAGAGAAACACAAAUUAGAAAAAUAUGAGGUCAUCGCUAAUAGAUCUGUGCAAGGAAGUAUAAUUCAUCUGGUUAUUUUUGCUUCCUCUAGAAAGCAGCACAGUGUUGGUAUGCUUCUAUACCUGAGAUUUAAAAAAAAAUAAUAAUUGAUAUGAUUAUUAUCAAUGAAAUAAUCACUAUAAGUAAUGAAAAAUAAAUAAUACGUUUCUCAGGAGAAAGACUGAUGUAUCAAUUGUAGCAUUUGGCUGCGGAGCCCAUUAAAUCCUGACCUUGGCACUGAACAGUUGCCCCACAAAUGAUUUGACUACACUGGUAAUAACCUGGGAAGGAGGCCAAGGGUGUAUAAUUCUGGGGAAGUUAGGCUCUCUUUCUGAGCCUGGUUACAGGCAGCAGCCUAGGGCCUCAUUAAUCUGAAAGAUCCUGGUUUGCUUUUUUAAAAAAAUCCUUUCAGAAGAGUGAAUAGCCUUUAUUCUUCAUUUGCUUUAUUGCCCAUGCUAUAUGGCACAGGGCUUGAUUCAUCCCAUGCACUCUAUUGUUUCUCCUCUAAUUUUUUUUGUGAUGGAAAAUAUAAACAUAUGCUAAAGUAGACAGAAUAGUAUACACUUCCUUUCCCGUAUCCUCCCCCCCCCCAGCUUUAAUUCUAUCACAUCAUGGCUUCAUUGACACCUAUACUUCCUCCAAUUUACUUGCCUGUGGGCCCAGGAACCAGGAGGUUUGGGACAAAUUCAGUCCUGUUCAAGAUUUCAGGGCACAGAAAGACAGGCCUGAGCCUUGACAAGACCUUGACCUUGUCAAAGCUGGGGAAAGAGGAGACAUUCGGUUGGAGAAGGAAAAAACCUUCAAGGCCAAAGAGACAUUUUCAAAAUUUCACAGGGCAAUUAAGGAAAAUGGAAAACAAAUUUCAAAAGCUUGGAAACUCCAGGGAGACGACUAUGGGGCAUGGCUUAAGGAUGAAUGUCAAAGCACAGAAAACAAUAUGGAAAUAUACACCCAAGUGUGAUAUCCUCUGGGAAGAAGGAUCUGGGACCAGCCCUGGGAGUUGUGGUCCAUGGUCCACAGCUUGCUAUGGAAGAACCAUCCAACCUCCAGAGUUUGUCAGACCACAAAGAUCAUAGCUUAGCAAAUCUAGAAGGGUAACCAGGAGCUUUACUUUUUCUUUUUUUUUUUUUUUUGCCAUGAUGAGGAUC